RNAcentral lists this long non-coding RNA (1823 nucleotides) under Gallus gallus (chicken). Lineage: Eukaryota; Metazoa; Chordata; Aves; Galliformes; Phasianidae. The record is from RNAcentral.
GAAAGAAAUAGAGGAAUUCACAGAUUUUUUUAAGACACUUGAUCAGAUGGUUGGAGGUUGAGUGCAGGAAACUGAGAGCCCGGAGGCUUUGUCUGCGGGUUCCCGAGGGCUGGGGGCUGGCGGGGGGCUGGAAGGGAACCGGCAGGAAGCAGAAAUCAAUUAGUGCUGGGGAGAACUUGAGCCGGGUCAGACGGAGGCGUUUGGAGGAGGCACGCAGCGAGCGGGGCUGCGCUGCGCUGCAAAUCAUCGGCGAGAGGCAGCACGUGGGCCAGGCUGGAAUUCAUCUCAUCCUGCUCCCAGCCCCGGGCUGAGCACCGUGCGGUGCUGGAGGGGCGUUUGGAGGCUCCGUUGCGGAUCCCCAAAGGUCCGGGUGAUGGGAGUAGUGUGGGGCUUUCUGCAGCAGGUGGGUGCGUUGCAUUGGGGUGGAAUCACAGUCAUGGAGUCGUUAAGGUGGAAAAAGAGCACGAAGGUCGUCCAGUCCAACCGCCAGCUCAUCCCCACCGUUUGCACACAUGGAGUCGCUCAGGUUGGAGAAGAGCAGUGAGGUCAUCCAGUCCAACCAUCAGCCGACCACGACCGCGGCCGCUCAGAGGCCCACGGAGUCAUUCAGGAGACACCUGAAGGGAAACCAGGGCUGACGGAUCCACGGGGCACACAGGCUUUGGAUUUGCAGCACCUAUUGUCAUCAUUCCAUAGAGUGCUGAAUGAAUAAAAUGAGGAAGAUGCUGGAGGGGCCCAGAGGGGAAGGGAGACCCUGGGGGGGGGGGGGGGGAAGGGGGGAGAGGGGUGACUGCUCCUUGGGAAAAUGCCCCCAGGACAUCACAUCACCUAUGGACUGAGAUUGGUGUCCAAGGGAGAGGGGAUGCGCUGCCGCACACGGAUCUACCCCAUGGAGCGGCGGUGCUGCCCAUCCCACUGACCUGCAGAGCUCCACGGGGUGGUGGGAAUGGCUCUUUUCAGCCUUCAUCCCAUCUUUCCCUCCCGGAGCCCAGAGCCGACACAACACGUCAGCCCCUCCAGACUCCUCACCCCAUGCCAUACCUGGGGGGCUCACUGCCUCCCCCCAUCUCAGAACCCCUUUCGCAGCAAACCCCAUCGCUCGGGACCCCCAGCCCCGAUUUAUCCCCCCAUAAAGCACCACUCAGCCCCGCCGCAGCCGGGAUGGAUUUGGCCAACUCAUUUAAAAUUCCUCUCCCUGCACACAAAACCAUUUUGUGCGAAGUUUAGCCUUGGGGAGAUUUAUUUCCUUGUUAGCUCAAGAUUUUCCUAUUAGCCCAUCUCAAAGAAACAUGGCCGCAUUUUCUCCAGCGCGCCAGCUGUUGUGCGAGAUGCAGGUACAUAUUACAGCCGUCAUUAAGCGGGCUGUCAUUCCGAGCUUUCUAAUUACCGUAUGAAUAGAGAGGAGCAUGAACACAACGCCUGAUUGUUCCGCUGCGGCUCACGCGGGGAAGCAAAAAUGGAAGAUCCCUGUAUAGGACUGCAGAGCCGGGAUGGAAACCUGAGCCGGGUCCGGCCGCCCGCAUCGUGCCGUGCUGUGAUUUUUGGGGAUGGUUUAGCAAAAAAAUAAAAGGAAAAGCCCCCGAUGUGUUCUCAGUCCUCCCCCCCCCCCCCCCUUCCUCCCAUCCGUUCCAAAUGCGUAAUGGAACAAAAGCGGCGCAACCGAAAAAAACGAGGAGGACAAACAUAUGGCAAAGGGGGUGCGGGGAAUGGCUCCGAGGAGCAGCAAUGUGCCACCGAGCUGCAUCCUGGCCGCGGCCAUUUCACCACUGGGUUUGAUCCCUUGCAGUCAGCUCCCUUCCUUUGUUGCAGGAAGUCGGCGCCGA